Molecule: ribosomal RNA, 367 nt
Filed under: uncultured bacterium
Lineage: Bacteria
Description: bacterial SSU rRNA
Rfam family: Bacterial small subunit ribosomal RNA
Source: RNAcentral
GGAGGGUGCAAGCGUUAUCCGGAUUCACUGGGUUUAAAGGGUGCGUAGGUGGGUCUGUAAGUCCGUGGUGAAAUCUCCGAGCUUAACUUGGAAACUGCCAUGGAUACUAUAGGUCUUGAAUAUUGUGGAGGUCAGCGGAAUAUGUCAUGUAGCGGUGAAAUGCUUAGAUAUGACAUAGAACACCAAUUGCGAAGGCAGCUGGCUACGCAUAUAUUGACACUGAGGCACGAAAGCGUGGGGAUCAAACAGGAUUAGAUACCCUGGUAGUCCACGCCCUAAACUAUGGAUACUCGACAUACGCGAUACACUGUGUGUGUCUGAGCGAAAGCAUUAAGUAUCCCACCUGGGAAGUACGAUCGCAAGAUUG